UGUGUGCGUUCGUGUGUGUGUGCGCUGCGUGGUGACGUAGGCGUGUGCAUGUGUGCCCCGGUCACAGCUCCUUUCAGCAUGGCCGGAGGAGAGGUGUACUGGCAGAUGCAUGACACACACAGAUCAGACUAUUUCUGUGUUGCAGUAUUAAUGAAGCUGCAGACACAGCUCCUUUCAGCAUGGCCGGAGGAGAGGUGCACUGGCAGAUGCAUGACACACACAGAUCAGACUAUUUCUGUGUUGCAGAUGUACAGUAAAGAGCCAAAGACCCAGUACUGUCUCCUGCUUCUUACUUUCACGCCAGAACACAACGCAGCAACAACAGGCGUAACACUUGAACGGGUUACA
Molecule: long non-coding RNA, 348 nt
Organism: Oreochromis niloticus (Nile tilapia)
Lineage: Eukaryota; Metazoa; Chordata; Actinopteri; Cichliformes; Cichlidae
Exons: 3
Source: RefSeq, a predicted model, not a curated record